This 497-nucleotide ribosomal RNA is filed under the name uncultured bacterium. Its description in RNAcentral is "partial 16S ribosomal RNA". It matches the Rfam family "Bacterial small subunit ribosomal RNA", at positions 28 to 507 of the family's 1533-position model. The record is from RNAcentral.
GAUGAACGCUGGCGGCGUGCCUAAUACAUGCAAGUCGAGCGAACAGACGAGGAGCUUGCUCCUUUGACGUUAGCGGCGGACGGGUGAGUAACACGUGGGUAACCUACCUAUAAGACUGGGAUAACUUCGGGAAACCGGAGCUAAUACCGGAUAAUAUUUCGAACCGCAUGGUUCGAUGGUGAAAGAUGGCUUUGCUAUCACUUAUAGAUGGACCUGCGCCGUAUUAGCUAGUUGGUAAGGUAACGGCUUACCAAGGCAACGAUACGUAGCCGACCUGAGAGGGUGAUCGGCCACACUGGAACUGAGACACGGUCCAGACUCCUACGGGAGGCAGCAGUAGGGAAUCUUCCGCAAUGGGCGAAAGCCUGACGGAGCAACGCCGCGUGAGUGAUGAAGGUCUUCGGAUCGUAAAACUCUGUUAUUAGGGAAGAACAAACGUGUAAGUAACUGUGCACGUCUUGACGGUACCUAAUCAGAAAGCCACGGCUAACUACGUG